RNAcentral lists this transfer RNA (75 nucleotides) under Trueperaceae bacterium. RNAcentral's name for it is "tRNA-Thr". It matches the Rfam family "tRNA". Rfam says of the family: Transfer RNA (tRNA) molecules are approximately 80 nucleotides in length. Their secondary structure includes four short double-helical elements and three loops (D, anti-codon, and T loops). The record is from RNAcentral. Lineage: Bacteria; Thermotogati; Deinococcota; Deinococci; Trueperales; Trueperaceae. RNAcentral also lists the same sequence under 2 other names.
GCCAAUGUAGCUCAGCGGUAGAGCAGCCGAUUCGUAAUCGGCAGGUCGUCAGUUCAAAUCUGACCAUUGGCUCCA